RNAcentral lists this ribosomal RNA (28 nucleotides) under Brugia malayi. RNAcentral's name for it is "partial 18S ribosomal RNA". RNAcentral also lists the same sequence under 1 other name. The record is from RNAcentral. Lineage: Eukaryota; Metazoa; Nematoda; Chromadorea; Rhabditida; Onchocercidae.
UUCGAUUGGUGAACCUGCGGAAGGAUCA